GGCCCAAUUUCCUUGGAACAGGAGGUCAUGGAGGGUGAGAACCCCGUGUGUGGCUCGUUCCCCCUAGGUCCUUGUGGCGUGCCCUCGAAGAGUCGGGUUGUUUGGGAAUGCAGCUCAAAAUGGGUGGUAAAUUUCAUCUAAAGCUAAAUAUUGGCGAGAGACCGAUAGCGAACAAGUAGAGUGAUCGAAAGAUGAAAAGCACUUUGAAAAGAGAGUGAAACAGUACGUGAAAUUGUUGAAAGGGAAGCGUUUGGCAUCAGCCCAUGGCGGCGGUCGAACAUCGGGGCUUCUGUCCCGUGCACUCGAUCGCCGUUGGGCCAGCGUCGGCUUUGCCCGCCGGAUAAAGGCCUUGGGGAAGUGGCUCCACCCAGGAGCGUUAUAACCCUCGGCGACAUGCGGCUGGGCGGGGCCGAGGUCUGCGGUCUCAUCCUAGGACGCUGGCGUAAUGGUUCCAAGCGACCCGUCUUGAAACACGGACCAAGGAGUCUAACAUCUAUGCGAGUGUUUGGGUGUAAAGCCCGACCGCGC
Molecule: ribosomal RNA, 528 nt
Filed under: uncultured Archaeorhizomycetes
Lineage: Eukaryota; Fungi; Ascomycota; Archaeorhizomycetes
Description: eukaryotic LSU rRNA
Rfam family: Eukaryotic large subunit ribosomal RNA
Source: RNAcentral